CGGUGAGCCUCUCCCAUAGGAGCCAGGAGGCAGCUGUCUGGCACAGCCCUGUUUUUGGUGCUUGCUGAGGAUAGCCCUUUGGGUCACUGGGACUUCUCCUGCUCCUGAUGAGCAGCAGCUAUCCAGAGACAUCUGUGGUGAACAGUUGUGACUACUGGAAUUCAGCUGCUGUCUUGCACUAAUUUUUGAUUGUAAAAGCUCAUUCAUAAGGAAAUAUUUUAGCCCUCUUCUUUCUGUUGCCUAUUCCCAAUGAACUUGGAAAUGCACAGGUAGGAUAAAAGAUUUAUGGAAGUAAUGCUUGAGGUACUGUUCAGAUAUGAUUUGGUAAGUAAUUUCAUCUCCAAAAGAAACCGUGGCCAAUGUAUUCAGGGCAAAAGCAUCCCUUUCUAUAUGCUCCAGGGUGCCAGUGUCUGUCCCAAACAAAGCCAUGCUGUGGGUGGUGCUGCUGUCCUUAAUUAACACAUAUUUGUUAAGUUUAUGGUAUUUCCUCACUCAAAAAAUGGUAUGAUGUAUCAUACUGUAGCGACUUGGUGUGUAUGUGGUUACUCUUCAAAAACAAAACAAAACAAAAAAAACAACAACAACAACAAAAGAACAAAAAACUUUAUGGGGAA
This is a long non-coding RNA of Numida meleagris (helmeted guineafowl), 614 nucleotides long. RefSeq lists it as uncharacterized. Lineage: Eukaryota; Metazoa; Chordata; Aves; Galliformes; Numididae. The record is from RefSeq and is a predicted model, not a curated record. The transcript has 2 exons.